Molecule: ribosomal RNA, 484 nt
Filed under: uncultured bacterium
Lineage: Bacteria
Description: partial 16S ribosomal RNA
Rfam family: Bacterial small subunit ribosomal RNA
Source: RNAcentral
AUUGAACGCUGGCGGCAGGCCUAACACAUGCAAGUCGAGCGGAUGAAGGGAGCUUGCUCCUGGAUUCAGCGGCGGACGGGUGAGUAAUGCCUAGGAAUCUGCCUGGUAGUGGGGGAUAACGUCCGGAAACGGGCGCUAAUACCGCAUACGUCCUGAGGGAGAAAGUGGGGGAUCUUCGGACCUCACGCUAUCAGAUGAGCCUAGGUCGGAUUAGCUAGUUGGUUGGGUAAAGGCCUACCAAGGCGACGAUCCGUAACUGGUCUGAGAGGAUGAUCAGUCACACUGGAACUGAGACACGGUCCAGAAUCCUACGGGAGGCAGCAGUGGGGAAUAUUGGACAAUGGGCGAAAGCCUGAUCCAGCCAUGCCGCGUGUGUGAAGAAGGUCUUCGGAUUGUAAAGCACUUUAAGUUGGGAGGAAGGGCAGUAAGUUAAUACCUUGCUGUUUUGACGUUACCAACAGAAUAAGCACCGGCUAACUUCGUG